UUUUUAUACAUUCGGCACAUUGUGAUUGUGAUGAUCAAAUUUGAAAAACGAAAAUCCGACCAUCAGAUCUGACCAUCAUGAUAAAAUACAUGUAUGAGAAAAAAUUCAACUUGAUCCGACAAGGUUAAGGGCUCGAUCCGGACGGUCAAUCCCGUAAGUCAAACCCUAAACGCAAGGAAAAGGCCAUUGGACCGUCUAAAUUACGAAUUUUCGCCGGACCUUCAACUGAAAAUAGUUUCAAAUCGAUGAGACGCAACAAUUUGUAUAAAAAUUUUACGGAAAAUAACCACCAAAGAUAGGGCUACCCAUAGGGAGAAAGAAAGGAAAAUUGCAUUGACCGCAACUACGAGCAUCGAGACUUUACCGGAAUACCGUGAUUUUUCAACCGAAAACGUAUUUCACCAUUCUGGUCAUAUCUUAUUUCACGACUUUUUUGCAUUUGAAGGUUCUACGUAUAGUUUGUUUUUGAAACGGAACAUUUACUUGGUAAACAAGUUAUACAACAUUAGUAGGCACCUUGUGAUUGUGAUGAUCAAACUUGAGAAAUGAAAAUCCGAUCGUUAGAUCUGACCAUCAUGAUAAAAUACAUGUAUGAGAAAAAAUUCAACUUGAUCCGACAAGGUUAAGGGCUCGAUCCGGACGGUCAAUCCAGUAAGUCAAACCCCUAAACGCAAGGAAAAGGUCAUUGGACCGUCUAAAUUACGUAUUUUGGUCGGACCUUCAACUGAAAAUAGUUUCAAAUCAAUGAGACACAACAAGUAGUAUAAAAAUUUUACAGAAAAUAACCACCGAAGGUAGGGCUACCCAUAGGGAGAAAGAAUGAAAAAUUGCAUUGACCGCAACUAUCGGCACCGAGACUUUACCGGAAUACCGUGAUUUUUCAACUGUAGAUGUAUUUCACCAUUCUGGUCAUAUCUUAUUUAACGACCUUUUUACGUUUGAAGGUUCUACGUAUAGUUUGUUUUUGAAACGGAACAUUUACUUAACACUAGGUAAACAAGUUAUACAACAUUAGUAGGUGUGUUGUGAUUGUGAUGAUCAAACUUGAGAAACGAAAAUCCGACCGUCAGAUCUGACCAUCAUGAUAAAAUACAUGUAUGGGAAAAAAUUCAACUUGAUCCGACAAG
RNAcentral lists this long non-coding RNA (1127 nucleotides) under Fragaria vesca (wild strawberry). Its description in RNAcentral is "long non-coding RNA (FVES_LNC005534)". The record is from RNAcentral. Lineage: Eukaryota; Viridiplantae; Streptophyta; Magnoliopsida; Rosales; Rosaceae.